ACCCAACUUAAGUUGCACAAUCUGAUUUUACACGAAUUCACUACUUGGCAAACACAGAAAAAAGAGAAAAACUAUUCUAAGAUCCAAGUCUAAACUCCGUUGUCUGAGUAAAUACUUUACAGCUGCUUAUAACUUAUGCAGCAUAUACUAAUAUCCUAGGACAGUUAAGCACGUGCUACUGCACUCUUUACCUAAACCUGGGUCUCUUGGAAAUGUUGCUAGAGAGAUUUCUUCUCUCUGGAGGACGACCUUUCCCAAAAGGCUUCAUAUUCCUCCUCUUCCUAUCAUUGUCACUGUCUGAUUCAGCCCCUUUCUCUCUGUCGGCAUUGCUUGCUUCUCUUUCCAGCUCUUCCCAUGUUUUCCCUUCUUCUUCUGAAUAUUCCUCAGAGUCCUCCCCUUCAUCAUCAUCUGACUCAACUAGUGAUGCGCUUUCAUCAUCUUCCUCGUCUGAUGAGACGGGCUCUACAUCUGAAGGUUCAUAUCCUUGAUCAGACUCCUGUGAGUUCUCAGAUUCCGAAUCAGUACCUUCUAAAUUCAAAAAUUCCCAUCCACCA
This 554-nucleotide unclassified non-coding RNA is filed under the name Hevea brasiliensis (rubber tree). Lineage: Eukaryota; Viridiplantae; Streptophyta; Magnoliopsida; Malpighiales; Euphorbiaceae. The record is from RNAcentral.